This is a long non-coding RNA of Biomphalaria glabrata, 520 nucleotides long. RefSeq lists it as uncharacterized. The transcript has 3 exons. NCBI's taxonomy places the organism in Eukaryota, Metazoa, Mollusca, Gastropoda, Planorbidae. The record is from RefSeq and is a predicted model, not a curated record.
AAGAAGUAUUGUCUACAGCCAUUGCCCAUUAACAUAGGCCCUACUCAUGUACUAGAUCUAGCUCUUUUGAUCACAACUCAUAUCUUGCCUAGAUAUAAACAACUGUACUAGAUUGGACUAGACAUUCUAAUCGGUUCUAUUUUCUUUUUCAUUAUUCUCACACAUGGCAGUAGGUACCAAAUUGUGCUAUUUAUUCACUGUAGAUCUAGAUCUUAACUUUUCUCUUAACUACCAAAGAAGUACACAAAGGAUGUUGAAUGAUACCCAAAGGGUUCUAAUUGCUACCAUUCAAUGUGUGGAUUCAAGUAUUUACCCAGAUACUGCCACAAUAUGUUAUUAUUGUUUUCAAAGGAGUUUGCACACAGUGCCAGAAGCUGUAUAAAUACAUUUAACAAUGUAUAUUUCAAGAAGAAAUGAUGCUUUCUUAUUCCUAAGAGUUUUAUCAAUAGGAUGAAUGCCACAAAACUCACUUGUUAUGCCAGAAACUCUUCCUACGAAACUUCCAUACUAGAAUUGGUCC